Oryzias melastigma (Indian medaka) is the source of this 740-nucleotide long non-coding RNA. RefSeq lists it as uncharacterized. The record is from RefSeq and is a predicted model, not a curated record. The transcript has 3 exons. NCBI's taxonomy places the organism in Eukaryota, Metazoa, Chordata, Actinopteri, Beloniformes, Adrianichthyidae.
GCUUUAAUCUUUUCUCUCUAUGGGUUCACUGAGCGGUCUAUAACUUUGAUAUUGUGUGUGGGCCACCUAUGUUUGCCCACAAACAACCUGUAUCCACCCAUGGGGGCAGCUGUGACUAAGGCAUUAGGAUGUGGCCACUUCUCUCUAUGACACCUCAAUAACCCACCAUACCCAUACUGGUUCAUGUGACUGAAGCUAUAGCAAUUAAUGCUGAAUUUGUCCUUUUAAAUGUUUGAAGUUUGUUUCUAUUUUUUCUGUGAAGGUACACUCCGAUCAGACCUACACAUCUACAUCAUUUCUGGCGUUCUAGCACUGGUUUUGGCUGCUGCCUUCUUCAUAAUCUACAGAAGAUAUUCAGGUGGGACAAGUGACAACGGGCCAGCCACCAAUGCACAAGAGUGUGUAACCCUAAAUCAACAAGCAGAAUCCCAAGAAGAAUCUGUAGUCUGAGCCCGUUUUCUCAAUCUGGGAUUUUGACAUUCAUGAGAGCUGUAUUGACUCCAAGAGGGCGGAGCAAAGCGAGCAUGCUGGCGACACCGCAGUCGCACUUGACUUUCAGGCGUUUGAGGAAGUCGCUGCUGUUUACUGGUGAAGCAAAGUGCGUCACUGAACUGAGAGCCACUGACUUCUCCUAAAGCAGGACUUUUCCAGUAGUGGGGGCAGAACAUUCUGAAGUAUACUGGAAAUCUGUAUAAGGCAGUGACCUUAAACUAUACUGUGAAUAAAAUUUCACAGACGAA